Molecule: long non-coding RNA, 996 nt
Filed under: Homo sapiens (human)
Lineage: Eukaryota; Metazoa; Chordata; Mammalia; Primates; Hominidae
Description: HSALNT0278747
Source: RNAcentral
UAAUCCCAGCACUUUGGGAGGCCGAGGCGGGCGGAUCACAAGGUCAGGAGAUCGAGACCAUCCUGGCGAAUACGGUGAAACCCCGUCUCCACUAAAAAAUACAAAAAAAAUCAGCUGGGCAUGGUGGCGGGUGCCUGUAGUCCCAGCUCCUUGGGAGGCUGAGGCAGGAGAAUGGCAUGAACCUGGGAGGCAGAGCUUGCAGCGAGCCGAGAUCGCGCCACUGCACUCAAGCCUGGGUGACAAAGUGAGACUCCGUCUCAAAAAAAAAUAAUAAUAAUUAAUAAAGAACCCCCUCAGGAGGUUCCAGGGGCCUCAGUGCAAUUGUGACUGCACCAGGUGUGACUUGGGAACCCUGGCGAGGAGGCAAGAGAGCGGGAGCCUGUGCAGCUAAUUCCACAGGAAGGGAGACCACCCAGAUCCAGAGGCCGAGGCCUUCCUCCUGACAGCUCCCUGGCCAUUCAUCUUGUGCACAUGGCUACAUAAAAGGAGUCGAGAGAUCGAGUCCAUUCUUUCCCUCCUCUGGGGCUUGCUUGCAAGGCGGGGUUGGGUCAAGGUUGGGGCAGCCUCUCUCUUCCUCCCUGCUUGGUGCCUCAGUGACCAGCCAGCUCCCUGCCCCACCCAGCUGGCCCCAGGCCACCGGCCGGGCCUGGGACUCAACUUGCCAACUUACAGCCUGAGGGAGGGCUGGGCUCUUCAAAAACAGCCUCAAAUCAUCCAGGCCGCUGACAGCCACAGGGCAAGCGCCCAGAGCCCAUUCUUUCUGUCUGGCCUCCAUCUCAUCCGGCUAUCCCAGGAUCCCAGGAGUGGCUGUUGAUGGAGCCCUUCCCAUGGACUGGGCCUUUGCACACACAUUGCACCAAAUUCUCACAGCAGCCGAGCCAGCCCUGCCCCACCUGAUUGGUUAAACCAUCUGCUGCCUGGUGUCUCCUCCACUGGACGACCAGGACCGAAGGGGCUGGAGAAGGAUUAACUCCAAUGUCCAGUGCCUGUCCCUGC